UAGAGGUUACAUUACACUAAAUCAUUGUGUAUCCCUCCGUGGUCCAUUCGAAAGUAGUGCCUAUUUCUAAAGAGUUCCUUUUCUCUUCUUGAAUAUAAGCCAUUUAACAAUGUGAGACAUGACUUUUGUGGUUAUUUGUAAUAUCCUGUAUGUGUCUGGAGUACUUUGAUGCCUUGGAUUGGAAGCUAACUUAAAAGAUGAACUUUUGAGGGUGUGUUUUCUAUUGUGUGGGGCUUUUGUCGAAAUUAGGAUUCCGAAACACGUUUUUCUACGGUGGGUUCAUUCGACAGCGAUUUACUUUCUUAGAAGUUGCGAGACGGUAUGUUUUUGUUUGCAAUUAUUGGAAGAUGACAGAUCCAUCUUUAAAAUGAUACCAGGUUCGGAAAAAUUGAUACGUCGGAAAGGCAAGAAAAAUGCUGUGAAAGUUGUCAGUUUUAUAAUGGGACCCUAUGGGAAUCGGAAUUAGUGUAAUAUAACCUUUAAAAAGCACAUUUACUGCAAUGUCAAGGUCACAUGGAUUCGUCUGCAAGCGAGACAAGUAGAAAAUGAAUUUUAAUGAAUGUUUUGAUGAUUUGGGUGCUAAAAUAGAUGAGAGGUGUCAAUAUUUAGGUCCAAAUGGAUGUUUUAGGUGGUUUUAGACGGUUCCGGAUGGGUGGGGGACCUGGUAUGGACAAGUAAGGGUAACAUUUCCAACAAAUCUUAAAUGUAAAUAUUAUUAUGUCCAUAGAUUGAAGUUUCAGGUGGAGAGCAAGAUGAAAAAUAUGCAAAAUUACAUGCAUGCAACCCAUUUAUGCCAUUUUUCUCUUUGUUUGUAGGCCUGACCGUUUGUCCUUGAGCCGUAGAUGGUCAACAAUCCGCUAGCUGUCUUGCUCUGACUGGUGCACUGGACAUGAUUUCAAUAGUCAGCCAGACCAUGAUUGAGCUUAAGGAUUGUGCUGCGGAUGCAGCCUGUGCAGUUCCGGGAGAAAGUCACUGUCUCGGGCAAUGCGGUCUGGUAUCAGGUCUGGAUGAUCCUUGCCUGACUGCGGGUUUGUGUACACCUCAAUCCGACUCUGUGUCCUGAACAGAGGCCGCAGUGGUGCAGCGCUUGUGGUCGAUCCAUCAACAUCCUGAAAGGUCAACACUACACCAAGCUGGGAAAAUUGAUCCUGAUAGUCAUCCCCAGGCCUGACCGUUUGUCCUUGAGCCGUAGAUGGUCAACAAUCCGCUAGCUGUCUUGCUCUGACUGGUGCACUGGACAUGAUUUCAAUAGUCAGCCAGACCAUGAUUGAGCUUAAGGAUUGUGCUGCGGAUGCAGCCUGUGCAGUUCCGGGAGAAAGUCACUGUCUCGGGCAAUGCGGUCUGGUAUCAGGUCUGGAUGAUCCUUGCCUGACUGCGGGUUUGUGUACACCUCAAUCCGACUCUGUGUCCUGAACAGAGGCCGCAGUGGUGCAGCGCUUGUGGUCGAUCCAUCAACAUCCUGAAAGGUCAACACUACACCAAGCUGGGAAAAUUGAUCCUGAUAGUCAUCCCCAGGCCUGACCGUUUGUCCUUGAGCCGUAGAUGGUCAACAAUCCGCUAGCUGUCUUGCUCUGACUGGUGCACUGGACAUGAUUUCAAUAGUCAGCCAGACCAUGAUUGAGCUUAAGGAUUGUGCUGCGGAUGCAGCCUGUGCAGUUCCGGGAGAAAGUCACUGUCUCGGGCAAUGCGGUCUGGUAUCAGGUCUGGAUGAUCCUUGCCUGACUGCGGGUUUGUGUACACCUCAAUCCGACUCUGUGUCCUGAACAGAGGCCGCAGUGGUGCAGCGCUUGUGGUCGAUCCAUCAACAUCCUGAAAGGUCAACACUACACCAAGCUGGGAAAAUUGAUCCUGAUAGUCAUCCCCAGGUAGUGGAAUGAAUGUUCACUGAACUACAGAGGAAUCACACCCAAAUGACUUUCCUGCCACGACAUUAGUGUGGCCACUCGCGUAGGAGUUCCUUAGCAAACAUGCUCUUUUGCAUGGUGACUGUGGACAUUUUUGCAAAACUUACGCUUUCAACACUGGAUUUUAACGAGAAUACUUAAUAAAAUGUCGCUAACAGGACUUAUUUAUAUGAGAGAGACUAUCUGGAUGCGCAUUAAGUGUCACUUGGUGUCGUAAGCUGUUGAAGGAGCGAUUUGCGCCUUUUUAAGUGUUAAAUUUGGGUAGCCGGCUUGUAUCAGC
This is a long non-coding RNA of Dreissena polymorpha, 2184 nucleotides long. RefSeq lists it as uncharacterized. The record is from RefSeq and is a predicted model, not a curated record. The transcript is spliced from 9 exons. Lineage: Eukaryota; Metazoa; Mollusca; Bivalvia; Myida; Dreissenidae.